CUGGAGAGAUAGCAUUUUGGUGUUUUGGU
This 29-nucleotide non-coding RNA is filed under the name Rattus norvegicus (Norway rat). Lineage: Eukaryota; Metazoa; Chordata; Mammalia; Rodentia; Muridae. The record is from RNAcentral.